Molecule: ribosomal RNA, 265 nt
Filed under: uncultured prokaryote
Description: partial 16S ribosomal RNA
Rfam family: Bacterial small subunit ribosomal RNA
Source: RNAcentral
UACGGAGGAUCCGAGCGUUAUCCGGAUUUAUUGGGUUUAAAGGGUGCGCAGGCGGGAGAUUAAGUCGGCGGUGAAAUUUUGCAGCUCAACUGUAAAAGUGCCUUCGAAACUGGUUUCCUUGAGUGUAGAUGAAGUAGGCGGAAUUUGUGGUGUAGCGGUGAGAUGCAUAGAUAUCACGAGGAACUCCGAUUGCGCAGGCAGCUUACUAAACUACUACUGACGCUCAGGCACGAAGGCGUGGGGAUCAAACAGGAUUAGAUACCCU